CUGCUGCGACAUCAACGCAAGUCAAAACCUCACUUCGGAGCGGCACUCAUUGGCAUGACCCAACGGAGUAUGCAAGCAUGUCUCUGUCGAGCUCAAUCAGGCUCACACAGGCUAUAGUCAAUGCAAGUGGGUCAAAACUAGUCUAACAACCAAAACUCACGUACCCUCAGCACAAUUUAAAAUAAGAUGUAAACAUCUGGAUCCACCAUCAACUCUGACGACACCCGACAAUACAGAACAGUCUAAACACUACUAUAAAAU
This 261-nucleotide long non-coding RNA is filed under the name Ananas comosus (pineapple). RNAcentral describes it as "long non-coding RNA (ACOM_LNC031390)". The record is from RNAcentral. Lineage: Eukaryota; Viridiplantae; Streptophyta; Magnoliopsida; Poales; Bromeliaceae.